This 28-nucleotide non-coding RNA is filed under the name Bombyx mori (domestic silkworm). RNAcentral also lists the same sequence under 1 other name. Lineage: Eukaryota; Metazoa; Arthropoda; Insecta; Lepidoptera; Bombycidae. The record is from RNAcentral.
CAACGAGACAGCUGCAGAUUACUGCAAC